GCUGGGCAUGGUGGCGCAUGCCUGUAGUCCCAGCUACUUGGGAGGCUGAGGUGGGAGGAUUGCUUGAGCCCAGGAGUUCUGGGCUGUAGUGCGCUAUGCGGAUCGGAUGUCCACACUAAGUUCAGCAUCAAUGUGGUGACCUUCCGGGAGCAGGGGACCACCAGGUUGCCUAAGGAGGAGUGAACUGGCCCAGGUCAGAAACGGAGCAGGUCAAAACUCCUGUGCUGAUCAGUAGUGGGAUCAUGCCUGUGAAUAGCCACUGCACUCCAGCCUGGGCAGCAUAGCGAGACCCCGUCUCU
RNAcentral lists this signal recognition particle RNA (299 nucleotides) under Cebus imitator (Panamanian white-faced capuchin). Its description in RNAcentral is "Metazoan signal recognition particle RNA (ENSCCAG00000004818.1)". It matches the Rfam family "Metazoan signal recognition particle RNA". Rfam says of the family: The signal recognition particle (SRP) is a universally conserved ribonucleoprotein. The record is from RNAcentral. Lineage: Eukaryota; Metazoa; Chordata; Mammalia; Primates; Cebidae.